AUAGCCCAGGGAAACCUGGAUUAAUACCGGAUGAGACGGGACCCGCGAUGGCGGGACCCGGGAAAGGCGCUGCGGCGCCGCCGGGGGGAUGAGUCUGCGUCCCGAUUAGCUAGACGGCGGGGUAACGGCCCACCGUGGCGACGAUGGGUAGCCGGCCUGAGAGGGUGACGGCCACAUUGGAACUGAGACACGGUCCAGACUCCUACGGGAGGCAGCAGCUAAGAAUCUUCCGCAAUGGGCGAAAGCCUGACGGAGCGAACCGCCGCGUGAACGAAGAAGGCCGUGAGGGUUGUAAAGUUCUUUUCGGGAGGGGGAACAACCGUGGCAGGGAAUGGCCGCGGGAUGACGUGAAUCCCGGAAUAAGCCCCGGCUAACUACGUGCCAGCCGCAGC
Molecule: ribosomal RNA, 392 nt
Filed under: uncultured bacterium
Lineage: Bacteria
Description: bacterial SSU rRNA
Rfam family: Bacterial small subunit ribosomal RNA
Source: RNAcentral